CAGAACUGCUGGUAAAAAAAAAAAAAAAACACUCAGCCCACAUGCUCGGUAUCUCCGCCGCCUUCUUCGGAAGAAGUUCUUCCCAGCCGGCGGCCCCGCAUGGCCGCAUAACGUCCGGCGAGGGUGCUUCCCCAGAUCUUCCGGUCGUCCUCAUCUUCCCACGCCCCCUCACCUUCCGGCCAACCCCGUGGUCGCGUACGUCUCUGCCGCCCCCACCACGCCGGCACAGUCCACCACACGGCAGAUCCAGAUGGGAUCCGCAAUCUGACUCGCAGUACCGUCGCAGCAGCAUGCAACGGAGACCAUUGCCGUUGCUGCAGACCAUCCGGAAGCAGUGUGCCGGAUCCCGACGCCACGGCCUCUGCGAGUGCCUCGCCGGCAAGCCGAGCGCCGCCUCCUCCGACGAGCAGGCCGUCCACCGGCGCCAAAGGGAAGCCCCCACCACCUUCAGAGCGUUGCCCUCUACCAACACGGCAACGGGAUUUUGACUAUUAUUUCAGGUGUAUUUUAGAGCGAAUUCGGGUUGAUGAAUGUUCCAUUAGGCAAUAGCAUAUUUGAGUGGUAUUACAGGCAGUAAUCAGGAUCUGAUUAUGCAGCUAUGGAAAUAGCCGUUUCCAGUAUGCAGCUAUGGAAAUUCUGGAGCUAAAGAUGUGAGUGGCCCAAAUAGGACAGGACAUUCUGCAGAAGACCUCAUAGAUGCGGCUGAAAAGCACCCUGGAUGGAAGGAAAAUAGUCUGUUGCAUGGCCAUCUAGCAAGUGCUCACUGGACACAACCGGCAUCAAAUGGAUCAGAUCAAUACUUCAUAAAAAGAAAUACAUGCAACAUGUGGUGAAACCGGCGGUUCACGUCAAUGAUAUUUCUGUAAUGGGAGAGUCGUUGGAUACAUCCUUUACCCAUUGUUUUGUAAACCUAUACCGAGUAUUGGCACUGAACAAUACUUUUCCCUAUAUGCCUUUGGUUUAUGAGAAAUUUGGAUGGUAAUUAUGUUGAUAAGAGAUGAACUAUUUGUAUGUGAGAAUUAAUUGUUUUGUUU
Molecule: long non-coding RNA, 1034 nt
Organism: Lolium perenne
Lineage: Eukaryota; Viridiplantae; Streptophyta; Magnoliopsida; Poales; Poaceae
Source: RefSeq, a predicted model, not a curated record